UACGUAGGGGGCGAGCGUUGUCCGGAUUUAUUGGGCGUAAAGAGCUCGUAGGCGGUUCGAUAAGUCGGACGUGAAAUCUCCACGCUCAACGUGGAGGGGCCGUUCGAUACUGUCGUGACUCGAGUCCGGUAGGGGAGUGUGGAAUUCCCGGUGUAGCAGUGAAAUGCGCAGAGAUCGGGAGGAACACCCGUAGCGAAGGCGGCACUCUGGGCCGGUACUGACGCUGAGGAGCGAAAGCGUGGGGAGCAAACAGG
RNAcentral lists this ribosomal RNA (254 nucleotides) under uncultured bacterium. RNAcentral's name for it is "partial 16S ribosomal RNA". It matches the Rfam family "Bacterial small subunit ribosomal RNA", at positions 524 to 776 of the family's 1533-position model. The record is from RNAcentral.